ACUCAAAUGAAUUGACGGGGGCCCGCACAAGCGGUGGAGCAUGUGGUUCAAUUCGACGCAACGCGAAGAACCUUACCUGGGCUCGAACGGCUCACGAAAAGCUGUAGAAAUAUGGCUUUCCCGCAAGGGACGGGAGUCGAGGUGCUGCAUGGCUGUCGUCAGCUCGUGUCGUGAGAUGUUGGGUUAAGUCCCGCAACGAGCGCAACCCUCGUCCUGUGUUGCUAACCGAAAGGUGCACUCUCAGGAGACUGCCGGCGAUAAGCUGGAGGAAGGUGGGGAUGACGUCAAGUCAUCAUGGCCUUUAUGUCCAGGGCUACACACGUGCUACAAUGGGCGGUACAAUGCGCUGCAAACCCGUGAGGGGGAGCCAAUCGCAAAAAACCGUUCUCAGUUCGGAUCGCAGGCUGCAACUCGCCUGCGUGAAGCUGGAAUCGCUAGUAAUGGCGUAUCAGAAUGACGCCGUGAAUACGUUCCCGGGCCUUGUACACACCGCCCGU
This 497-nucleotide ribosomal RNA is filed under the name uncultured bacterium. RNAcentral describes it as "partial 16S ribosomal RNA". It matches the Rfam family "Bacterial small subunit ribosomal RNA", at positions 899 to 1397 of the family's 1533-position model. The record is from RNAcentral.